AUGGAUUUUUUGCGCAUGCGCACGAGUAACUUCCGUGAAAAUGGACAUCAACAGUAAAAAAAUGUGCUGGUUACCGGAAGUUCACAAGAACCAGUUAAGCGAAGGUAACACCCUACAACAUGAACAUGAACUGAUCACUGAGACUGCAUUGCGUAUGAAAGACAGUUUUAUUUACUAGCCCGACAGGCUAAUGCAGUAUAGAUUUAUGAUAGCCCAACCUCUAAAAUUGGUAGCCCUGGGCGUUGGGCGAUGGUAAUUGCACACCCCUGCCCGGGGCAGGGCGGGUCACAAUGGGAGAUCAAAGUUUUACAUGGGAAUACAUUGGAAAAAUCUUCUCCAGAACCACUGGGCCAAGAAAGAUGAAACUGAUGUAGAAACAUCUUCAGACAUCCAAACAGCUAGCUCAGAUGUGGAAGUGGAAUCGGACCCUUUUAGUCGGGAAUUCAACGGGAAAUUCAUUUGACAGUGAUGAUGAUGAUGAGAUUAAUUCAGCUUGUUGUGAUCCUCCUGGACAUCCAAGUGUUUUCGACAUUGAUGAAGAUUUUGUCACUCUCUCUCUUGGACCAAACCAAGAAAUGAUGGUUUUAAGAAGAUUAUAGGAUAUGUCAUAGAAUACGAAGACCCCACCACUGGAGGCAGGCUAAUGACUACCCAGUAGAUGAGUGUGUUUAUGAGGUGUAGGGAUUAAAAAAGGACAAGGAAUACAACUUCCACAUACGGGCCAAGAAUCUUGAAGGUUUUAGUGAGUCUAGUGAUGUGAUUGGUCCCAUAACUCCCAAGCCCAAAUACACAAAGGUUUUGCCACCUGGUGUACCAGAGGCUGUCAACAAUUCUAUAAUGGUGGCUGUAAAAUUAC
Molecule: long non-coding RNA, 856 nt
Organism: Saccostrea echinata
Lineage: Eukaryota; Metazoa; Mollusca; Bivalvia; Ostreida; Ostreidae
Exons: 7
Source: RefSeq, a predicted model, not a curated record